This 497-nucleotide ribosomal RNA is filed under the name uncultured bacterium. RNAcentral describes it as "partial 16S ribosomal RNA". It matches the Rfam family "Bacterial small subunit ribosomal RNA", at positions 28 to 507 of the family's 1533-position model. The record is from RNAcentral.
GAUGAACGCUGGCGGCGUGCCUAAUACAUGCAAGUCGAGCGAACGGACGAGAAGCUUGCUUCUCUGAUGUUAGCGGCGGACGGGUGAGUAACACGUGGAUAACCUACCUAUAAGACUGGGAUAACUUCGGGAAACCGUAGCUAAUACCGGAUAAUAUUUUGAACCGCAUGGUUCAAAAGUGAAAGACGGUCUUGCUGUCACUUAUAGAUGGAUCCGCGCUGCAUUAGCUAGUUGGUAAGGUAACGGCUUACCAAGGCAACGAUGCAUAGCCGACCUGAGAGGGUGAUCGGCCACACUGGAACUGAGACACGGUCCAGACUCCUACGGGAGGCAGCAGUCGGGAAUCUUCCGCAAUGGGCGAAAGCCUGACGGAGCAACGCCGCGUGAGUGAUGAAGGUCUUCGGAUCGUAAAACUCUGUUAUUAGGGAAGAACAUAUGUGUAAGUAACUGUGCACAUCUUGACGGUACCUAAUCAGAAAGCCACGGCUAACUACGUG